This 475-nucleotide ribosomal RNA is filed under the name uncultured bacterium. RNAcentral's name for it is "partial 16S ribosomal RNA". It matches the Rfam family "Bacterial small subunit ribosomal RNA", at positions 28 to 507 of the family's 1533-position model. The record is from RNAcentral.
GAUGAACGCUGGCGGCGUGCUUAACACAUGCAAGUCGAACGAUGAACCUCACUUGUGGGGGGAUUAGUGGCGAACGGGUGAGUAACACGUGAGUAACCUGCCCUUGACUCUGGGAUAAGCCUGGGAAACCGGGUCUAAUACUGGAUACGACCUUCUGGCGCAUGCCAUGUUGGUGGAAAGCUUUUGUGGUUUUAGAUGGACUCGCGGCCUAUCAGCUUGUUGGUGGGGUAAUGGCCUACCAAGGCGACGACGGGUAGCGGGCCUGAGAGGGUGACCGGCCACACGGGGACUGAGACACGGGCCAGACUCCUACGGGAGGCAGCAGUGGGGAAUAUUGCAGAAUGGGCGAAAGCCUGAUGCAGCGACGCCGCGUGAGGGAUGAAGGCCUUCGGGUUGUAAACCUCUUUCAGUAGGGACGAAGCCGGCUUUUGGGUUGGUGACGGUACCUGCAGAAGAAGCGCCGGCUAACUACGUG